UACGUAGGGUGCAAGCGUUAAUCGGAAUUACUGGGCGUAAAGCGUGCGCAGGCGGUUUUGUAAGUCUGUCGUGAAAUCCCCGGGCUCAACCUGGGAAUUGCGAUGGAGACUGCAAGGCUAGAAUCUGGCAGAGGGGGGUAGAAUUCCGACGUGUGAGCAGUGAAAUGCGUGAGAGAUGUGGAGGAACGACCGAUGGCGCAAGGCAGCCCCCUGGGUC
RNAcentral lists this ribosomal RNA (217 nucleotides) under uncultured bacterium. Its description in RNAcentral is "partial 16S ribosomal RNA". It matches the Rfam family "Bacterial small subunit ribosomal RNA", at positions 524 to 735 of the family's 1533-position model. The record is from RNAcentral.